GACCGCAUAGCUUAGUUGGCAGAGCAUUGUGCUAGUAUUCCAAAGGUCGUAGGUUCGAUUCCCACCGUGGUCA
Molecule: non-coding RNA, 73 nt
Organism: Paramuricea clavata
Lineage: Eukaryota; Metazoa; Cnidaria; Anthozoa; Malacalcyonacea; Plexauridae
Source: the annotation of a GenBank genome assembly